UUGGGUUAAGUCCCGCAACGAGCGCAACCCACGUUUUUAGUUGCCAGCAUUGAGUUGGGCACUCUAGAGAGACUGCCGGUGACAAACCGGAGGAAGGUGUGGAUGACGUCAAGUCAGCAUGCCCCUUACGUUCUGGGCUACACACGUACUACAAUGCUUCGGACAAAGGGCAGCGAGCGCGCGAGUGCAAGCCAAUCCCAUAAACCGAGGCUCAGUUCAGAUUGCAGGCUGCAACUCGCCUGCAUGAAGGCGGAAUCGCUAGUAAUCGCAGGUCAGCAUACUGCGGUGAAUACGUUCCCGGGCCUUGUACACACCGCCCGUCACACCAUGGGAGUUGGCCACGCCCGAAGUCGUUACUCCAACCGUUCGCGGAGGAGGAUGCCGAAGGCAGGGCUGAUGACUGGGGUGUAAGUCGUACAAGGUAACCAA
Molecule: ribosomal RNA, 429 nt
Filed under: uncultured cyanobacterium
Lineage: Bacteria; Bacillati; Cyanobacteriota
Description: bacterial SSU rRNA
Rfam family: Bacterial small subunit ribosomal RNA
Source: RNAcentral